RNAcentral lists this ribosomal RNA (465 nucleotides) under uncultured bacterium. RNAcentral's name for it is "partial 16S ribosomal RNA". It matches the Rfam family "Bacterial small subunit ribosomal RNA", at positions 28 to 507 of the family's 1533-position model. The record is from RNAcentral.
GACGAACGCUGGCGGCGUGCUUAACACAUGCAAGUCGAACGGAAAGGCCCCUUCGGGGGUACUCGAGUGGCGAACGGGUGAGUAACACGUGAGUAACCUGCCCUUGACUUCGGGAUAACUUCAGGAAACUGGGGCUAAUACCGGAUAGGAAUCCUUGCUGCAUGGUGGGGGUUGGAAAGCUUCGGCGGUUUUGGAUGGACUCGCGGCUUAUCAGCUUGUUGGUGGGGUAGUGGCUUACCAAGGCUUUGACGGGUAGCCGGCCUGAGAGGGCGACCGGCCACACAGUGACUGAGAUACGGCGCAGACUCGUACGGGAGGCAGAAGUGGGGAAUAUUGCACAAUGGGCGGAAGCCUGAUGCAGAAACGCCGCGUGCGGGAGGACGGCGUUCGGGUGGUAAACCGCUUUCAGAAGGGGCGAAGCUUGUGGUGACGGUACCUGCAGAAGAAGCACCGGCUAACUACGUG